UUCCUGUCAAAUACUUAAAGGCCAAAUGCAGGUGGCCAACUUUCAAAGCUACAGCUUUGUACUAUGUAAUUUAAGAUGCUCUGAAGAGGUGGAGUCCAACUGCCACAGACUCCGAAAUUGAUGCAUCAAUGGUGGAACACCUAAAGCACGCUCCAGGAAGAGCUGGGGGCGGUGGUUAUAAGAAAUAAGCUGUUUUGAGAGACAUUUACAUGCGUGUUUACAUUAAUCCAGUAUUUUUGUUUUGUACUUGUUUGAUUUAUAGCUGUUUAAAAUUAAUGCAAAACUGUUUCAAUUAAAAAAAAUGAGUACUGCCACAAUAAUAAUGCUUCUGGAAGAGCAGGUGCUUGUGGAGCAACAAAAUGAUAGUAAACAUUUUGGAAUAAUGAUAAAUAAAUAAAAGAUUAUAAAUAUA
Labeo rohita (rohu) is the source of this 412-nucleotide long non-coding RNA. RefSeq lists it as uncharacterized. Lineage: Eukaryota; Metazoa; Chordata; Actinopteri; Cypriniformes; Cyprinidae. The record is from RefSeq and is a predicted model, not a curated record. The transcript has 2 exons.